CCAGACUCCUACGGGAGGCAGCAGUGGGGAAUAUUGCACAAUGGGGGCAACCCUGAUGCAGCGACGCCGCGUGAGCGAUGAGGUAUUUCGGUAUGUAAAGCUCUAUCAGCAGGGAAGAAAAUGACGGUACCUGACUAAGAAGCCCCGGCUAACUACGUGCCAGCAGCCGCGGUAAUACGUAGGGGGCAAGCGUUAUCCGGAUUUACUGGGUGUAAAGGGAGCGUAGACGGCAUGGCAAGUCUGAAGUGAAAGCCCGGGGCUCAACCGCGGGACUGCUUUGGAAACUGUUAAGCUGGAGUGCAGGAGAGGUAAGUGGAAUUCCUAGUGUAGCGGUGAAAUGCGUAGAUAUUAGGAGGAACACCAGUGGCGAAGGCGGCUUACUGGACUGUAACUGACGUUGAGGCUCGAAAGCGUGGGGAGCAAACAGGAUUAGAUCCCCGGGUA
This 444-nucleotide ribosomal RNA is filed under the name uncultured bacterium. Its description in RNAcentral is "bacterial SSU rRNA". It matches the Rfam family "Bacterial small subunit ribosomal RNA", at positions 331 to 792 of the family's 1533-position model. The record is from RNAcentral.